RNAcentral lists this ribosomal RNA (462 nucleotides) under uncultured bacterium. RNAcentral's name for it is "partial 16S ribosomal RNA". It matches the Rfam family "Bacterial small subunit ribosomal RNA", at positions 29 to 507 of the family's 1533-position model. The record is from RNAcentral.
AACAAACGCUGGCGGCGUGCCUAAUACAUGCAAGUCGAACGGGGAAAGUAGCAAUAUGAGUACUAGUGGCGCACGGGUGAGUAACGCGUGGAUAAUCUGCCUUGAAGAGGGGGAUAACUAGUCGAAAGAUUAGCUAAUACCGCAUAAGACCACAAGAACUGAGGUUCAAGGGGUCAAAGGUUUUUCGCUUCAAGAUGAGUCCGCGUAAGAUUAGCUAGUUGGUGAGGUAAUGGCUCACCAAGGCAACGAUCUUUAACUGGUCUGAGAGGAUGAUCAGUCACACGGGAACUGAGACACGCUCCAGACUCCUACGGGAGGCAGCAGUAGGGAAUAUUGCACAAUGGAGGAAACUCUGAUGCAGCGACGCCGCGUGAGUGAUGAAGGCCUUCGGGUCGUAAAGCUCUGUCGCAGGGGAAUAACACAAUGAAUGUACCCUGUAAGAAAGGAUCGGCUAACUUCGUG